This 3164-nucleotide long non-coding RNA is filed under the name Olea europaea subsp. europaea. The record is from RNAcentral. Lineage: Eukaryota; Viridiplantae; Streptophyta; Magnoliopsida; Lamiales; Oleaceae.
UCUCUUAUAGCUAAUGGACUCUUUUUUCCUUUUUCUUUUCAACUGCUUAUAGAGAAUGUUGAGAAAUUUCGUCAUUCUAACCUUCUCAUCCUGCUUGCUCUUGUCAUCCUAAUUAUAAUCUGCUGCUAAACGCCCAUUACUAAUUUUAUUUUCUCUUGUGCUCUUGAUUAUAGAAGUGGCUAAAUAUUGAAUAGAUUUGAUUUUGUGGUAACAAUAUCCUUUAGUAAAGAUUUACACUUUAUUCAUUUCUCUAUGUUAAGAAAUAUUAAUUUUAAUCAUUAAGCCCUAACCUAAAAUGGUCUAAUUCAGCUAAAAAUCUCAUCAUUAUUGUCGAAUUUCACUCAAAAUUGCAGAUUAGUGGCAAUGGAAUUAUCCAGGAAUAUCUGAAUCAGAGACUCGGUUUUAUGAAUGUGAAGUCUAGACUUCACGGUUUCACCUAAUCAGCUUCGUUUCAGCCGUUGCUACUAAAUAUUGCAUCUCAUUUUUGUUCCUGAAUUUUUUCAACUGCAGGUAUUAGAUCCAUAGUGGCUAUAAAUUACAUAGCCAAUAUAGAAUCAGUGUAAUGCUCAGUUCAAGCUUUGAGACAACUAUUGAAUUAUUUAAUUAAAUAUACACAGUAUUAGAAUGUUGCUAAAAUAUAAGUGGAUUUGGAUGUGUAAAGGCCAUCAUCUGAUGUGGUCUAAUAAUUAAAAAUUUCUUUGUUGUACGGAGAGCUCUUUGAUACGAAUAGACUUUGUUGGAGAUGUGCCAGACGCUGCAGAACAUUGUGCACUAGAACUCUGUCCACAAAUCCACUCUCAUAGUACAAAGGACACACUUGAAUCAAAUGCGGAGUCAGAUUAUUUUGUCUCACAACAAAAAUACUUUUUAUAAUUAGCAAAUUUGAAUGUCAUCAAAUAUUUUUACUCGAUUUUCAUUUUAGGAUUCUUACUUGUUUCAUUUACUCUGACCUCAACAAGUUGAUUAUCACAUAUUAGACAGGUUUAAGCACUGAAGUGAACUUAAAACCAAUAAUGGUCUUCUGUCACUUUGUAGGCUCAAGAUAACCUCAUGAACCUACCAUUGGCAAAUGGAUGGGGAGAAAAGCAUAGGUUCUUUGUGAAGUGGAAAUACGUUGAAGCUAAGGUAUCUUGUUUGUAUUUCUCUCACUUUAUUUGACACUUUCAAGAAGCAGUUCUUAUAUUAUUAGCAAGUGCCUUGCAAGUAGGAACUUAAUCUAAAGUUACUGGGUGCAUAACUACUAUGGUCUCUUGUACCUCAUUCCCCGGUCUUGCAAGUUGAUGAUAUGAAAAGUAACGACAGAGUGACUACUAUGAUUUUUAACUUAACAUUUACUUUCUGAGGUUUGGAUAGGUAAAUAUUCAUAAAAAUUUGAUAAUUGGGAUGAGUAUGAUUUAAUCUGACCUAUAACGAGUCUUCAUCAGCAUGCUUGUGAAUUUGAAGCUCAAAUUGAUGCAAGAAUUUCAUGUUCCUUAGGCCGCAGCAUAUUACUAUCAUGGUCUGAUUCUUGAUGAGGGAAACACAGAAAAGUCUCAUGGAAUGGCUGUAGCUGCUCUGCAAGCAGCGGAUGAGUAUCUCAAAGAAAGCAAGAAGGCUUGUGAAACUUUUAAUUCAUCCGUUCCUGUCUCUAGGUAAUGUUGUGCUCACUUUCCAACUGCUUCCAUGUUACAAAUGGGAUCGCUUGUCAAUUUCUUUCUUUAUUCAUAUUAAUUACUCAGAAAUACAUGUGUACCUUCUGUUUCAUUAUAUAACAUCGAGAAAUCUGAGAAAAUGGAGAUUCAAAAGAGAUCAGACCACACCAUUUAUGAUAGCUGUAAUUUACUCCUGUUUUGGUCCUCCAUAAGAAUUUGGUUAGGAACAUUUGAAAGGUAGCUUCUAGAACUGAGGUAUACAAAUAUAUAAGCCUUUGGAAUGGUUAUUUAUUUAUUUAUUAUUUCUUUUAAAGCUAUUUAUAGACAGUAAUUUCUUAUUUGUGUCCAUGUAGCAUGAACUAUAGCAAAUAAUGUUAGUAUUUAUUUUUUCCUAUCAGUGUACUGUAAAAAAAUGAGAUGGCAGAAAGAAAAAGCAUUGUAUAUCUUUGCAUGCUUUUGGCAUCUGUUUGGUCCUCCUAGUUUUACAUCUAUCCAUGUGACAUCUCCAUUUUUACCGAUUUUGCCUAAGAUCCAAUUUUAAAUGAAGAAAACAACAUUUUUCUACUUAAUCACGUAACAAUUUUUUAAGAUUGAAUAAUAGGUUAGUGUACAUUACAUUACGACUAAAGAUGAUCUUGAUGGCUCUGAGAAUCAGUAAAUUCUUAUUUCUGAUGCAGGAAUCCACCUCUUUGGGGAACAAUGAAGUAUCUCUCAGAGAAGAUUCCCAAGGACACUUCUAGCAAGGUCCGAAUUAACAGGGAUCUAUACUCUAGUGAAAAGUAAGUCUUCUUUAGUAUUAUAACUCCAAAAAAUACAAGUCAUUCAUGCACGUAUAUCAGCAUAGAUGUUAUACAAAUAUGGUGGUGGGGCUGCAACUCUUACGUUAACAACAGGAAAACAGUGAACCAGUUGAGCAGAAAUUUUUGGGGUCUUUGUUCACGGAAUUUAAUAGAUAUUCUUGCCUAACCACAUGGAAGCAAGGUUGGGUCUUGUCUAAUGUAAACUAAUUCUUUUGAAUGUAGAAUUAUGGAGACAGCACCAACUUUGCCUGACUUUGCAUUGGCUCUGAAACCUGAUGAAUAUCAGCUUCCUAUUGUUGAUGCAUUUUGGAAUGAGGAAACAAACAAGGCCCAAGUCAACCACGAGAAGCUUAAAGGGUAGCUUUGCACGGGUUCCACACAUAUCAAACUCUGAAAAAAUACAUGUCUGCAAAUGCAAUGGUACAUGCUGUUCAUAGACGAGGAAGGGUUGUAGAAGAAUUACCAAUCAAUUUUUUGGUUAAUUUGCAUCCCAAAGGUCCAUCCUCUUCUCUUUGGCUUUUCCAUUUCCCCCCCCUUUUGAUCUUCUUGUUAAUUGAAUCGUUUUGUAUCAUUUCCUACAAAUGUGUAAUAAUCCCCCCGUGAGAAAGAUUUGUACAACGACCUUUUAUGUUUACUUUUAACACUGGAGGGAAAGGAUAAAGAAUGAAUUUAUUUGCCAACGUAAAAAAUUCUUUUUCCUGUUGUCGUAGUUCAUAAAAAAUAAGUCGAUAAG